CGGAGCGUGUGGUUUAAUUCGAUGCUACACGAAGAACCUUUACCAAGGUUUGACAUGUAAGUGGUAGUGAUCUGAAAAGUGAACGGACCCUUCGGGGAGCUUAUACAGGUGUUGCAUGGCUGUCGUCAGCUCGUGUCGUGAGAUGUUCGGUUAAGUCCGCUAACGAGCGCAACCCUCGCCGUAUGUUACAAGUGUCAUACGGGACUGCCGGUAAAAGCCGGAGGAAGGUGAGGAUGAUGUCAAGUCAGCAUGACCUUUAUAUCCAGGGCUACACACACGCUACAAUGGUCUGUACAAUUGGUUGCCAAGCCGCGAGGCGGAGCCAAUCCGUAAAGCAGGCCUCAGUUCAGAUUGCAGUCUGCAACUCGACUGCCAUGAAGCCGGAGUUGCUAGUAACCGCAGGUCAGCAAUACUGCGGUAGAAUACGUUCCGGUCUU
Molecule: ribosomal RNA, 437 nt
Filed under: uncultured Anaerolineaceae bacterium
Lineage: Bacteria; Bacillati; Chloroflexota; Anaerolineae; Anaerolineales; Anaerolineaceae
Description: bacterial SSU rRNA
Rfam family: Bacterial small subunit ribosomal RNA
Source: RNAcentral